AUGGUUACUAACGUAUAUGCGCCAACUGCGCGAUCUCUCAAAAGUGUUUUCUUGGACGAAUUAAAAAGUAUUGCUCCUCCGGAUAAUACUCCGUGGUUAGUCAUAGGUGAUUUCAACUUGAUUCGCUUCCCCCAUGAGAAAAAUAAUUCCAAUUUUCGACACUUAGAGGCAUCGCUUUUCAAUGACACUCUAGAUCAUCUCACUCUGCUGGAAUUACCUCUGCUUGAUAGGCAGUUCACCUGGUCGAAU
Molecule: ribosomal RNA, 249 nt
Filed under: Triticum aestivum (bread wheat)
Lineage: Eukaryota; Viridiplantae; Streptophyta; Magnoliopsida; Poales; Poaceae
Description: partial small subunit ribosomal RNA
Source: RNAcentral